CAGGAUUCCCCUAGUAACUGCGAGUGAAGCGGGAAAAGCUCAAAUUUAAAAUCUGGCGGUCUCUGGCCGUCCGAGUUGUAAUCUAGAGAAGUAAUGCCCGUGCUGGACCGUGUAUAAGUCUCCUGGGAUGGGGCGUCAUAGAGGGUGAGAAUCCCGUCUUUGACACGGACUACCAGUACAUUGUGGUAUGCUCUCAAAGAGUCGAGUUGUUUGGGAAUGCAGCUCAAAAUGGGUGGUAAAUUCCAUCUAAAGCUAAAUAUUGGCGAGAGACCGAUAGCGAACAAGUACCGUGAGGGAAAGAUGAAAAGAACUUUGGAAAGAGAGUUAAACAGUACGUGAAAUUGCUGAAAGGGAAACGCUUGAAGUCAGUCGCGUUAGCCGGGGAUCAGCCUUGCUUUUGCAUGGUGUACUUUCUGGUUGACGGGUCAGCAUCAAUUUUGACCGCUGGAAAAAGACCUGGGGAAUGUGGCAGCUUCGGCUGUGUUAUAGCCCCUAGUCGCAUACAGUGGUUGGGAUUGAGGAACUCAGCACGCCGCAAGGCCGGGUUUCGACCACGUUCGUGCUUAGGAUGCUGGCAUAAUGGCUUUAAGCGACCCGUCUUGAAACACGGACCAAGGAGUCUAACAUGCCUGCGAGUAUUUGGGUGGAAAACCCAAGUGCGUAAUGAAAGUGAAAGUUGAGAUCCCUGUCGUGGGGAGCAUCGACGCCCGGACCAGAACUUUUGGGACGGAUCCGCGGUGGAGCAUGUAUGUUGGGACCCGAAAGAUGGUGAACUAUGCCUGAAUAGGGUGAAGCCAGAGGAAACUCUGGUGGAGGCUCGUAGCGAUUCUGACGUGCAAAUCGAUCGUCAAAUUUGGGUAUAGGGGCGAAAGACUAAUCGACCCAUCUAGUAGCUGGGUCCUGC
This 904-nucleotide ribosomal RNA is filed under the name Agaricus excellens. RNAcentral describes it as "LSU rRNA". It matches the Rfam family "Eukaryotic large subunit ribosomal RNA", at positions 70 to 961 of the family's 3401-position model. The record is from RNAcentral. Lineage: Eukaryota; Fungi; Basidiomycota; Agaricomycetes; Agaricales; Agaricaceae.